UACAGAGGUCUCAAGCGUUGUUCGGAUUCAUUGGGCGUAAAGGGUGCGUAGGCGGCGCGGUAAGUCGGGUGUGAAAUCUCGGAGCUUAACUCCGAAACUGCAUUCGAUACUGCGGUGCUUGAGGACUGGAGAGGAGACUGGAAUUUACGGUGUAGCGGUGAAAUGCGUAGAUAUCGUAAGGAAGACCAGUGGCGAAGGCGGGUCUCUGGACAGUUCCUGACGCUGAGGCACGAAGGCCAGGGGAGCAAACGGG
RNAcentral lists this ribosomal RNA (253 nucleotides) under uncultured bacterium. RNAcentral describes it as "partial 16S ribosomal RNA". It matches the Rfam family "Bacterial small subunit ribosomal RNA", at positions 524 to 776 of the family's 1533-position model. The record is from RNAcentral.